This 256-nucleotide ribosomal RNA is filed under the name uncultured bacterium. Its description in RNAcentral is "partial 16S ribosomal RNA". It matches the Rfam family "Bacterial small subunit ribosomal RNA", at positions 524 to 776 of the family's 1533-position model. The record is from RNAcentral.
UACAGAGGUCCCGGAGCGUUAUCCGGAUUCACUGGGUUUAAAGGGUGCGUAGGUGGGUUGGUAAGUCAGUGGUGAAAUCCCCGAGCUUAACUUGGGAACUGCCAUUGAUACUAUCAGUCUUGAAUACCGUGGAGGUCAGCGGAAUAUGUCAUGUAGCGGUGAAAUGCUUAGAGUAUGACAUAGAACACCAAUUGCGAAGGCAGCUGGCUACACGAAUAUUGACACUCAGGCACGAAAGCGUGGGGAUCAAAACAGG